RNAcentral lists this ribosomal RNA (515 nucleotides) under uncultured bacterium. Its description in RNAcentral is "partial 16S ribosomal RNA". It matches the Rfam family "Bacterial small subunit ribosomal RNA", at positions 28 to 523 of the family's 1533-position model. The record is from RNAcentral.
GAUGAACGCUGGCGGCGUGCCUAAUACAUGCAAGUCGAGCGAAUGGAUUAAGAGCUUGCUCUUAUGAAGUUAGCGGCGGACGGGUGAGUAACACGUGGGUAACCUGCCCAUAAGACUGGGAUAACUCCGGGAAACCGGGGCUAAUACCGGAUAACAUUUUGAACCGCAUGGUUCGAAAUUGAAAGGCGGCUUCGGCUGUCACUUAUGGAUGGACCCGCGUCGCAUUAGCUAGUUGGUGAGGUAACGGCUCACCAAGGCAACGAUGCGUAGCCGACCUAGGAGGGUGAUCGGCCACACUGGGACUGAGACCCGGCCCAGACUCCUACGGGAGGCAGCAGUAGGGAAUCUUCCGCAAUGGACGAAAGUCUGACGGAGCAACGCCGCGUGAGUGAUGAAGGCUUUCGGGUCGUAAAACUCUGUUGUUAGGGAAGAACAAGUGCUAGUUGAAUAAGCUGGCACCUUGACGGUACCUAACCAGAAAGCCACGGCUAACUACGUGCCAGCCGCCGCGGUAG